AAGUAUAAAAUUAUUAAUUUUAUUUUUUUUUUUAUUAAUUAAUAUAAAUAAAUUUAUUUUUAUUUUUUUUUGUAUAGUGUAUAGAUUAAAUAAUUUUUAUUAUAGUAAAAUAGUAUUGUGGAAGAAUUUUGAAAAAUUAUUUAUUUAUUUGAAAGUAAAAUUGAAUUUUUGUACCUUUUGUAUCAGGGUUUAUUAAUAAAAAAUUAAGGAUUUAAUAUUCUCGAAUUUAAAGGAGCUAAUAAAUUAUGAUAGUUUUUGUUUUAUAACAAUUAUAAAUUAUUUAUUAGUAAUGAAAUGUUAUUCGUCUUUUAAGAUAUCUAGUUUUUUAAGAAAUAAAUUUAAUUUAUAUAUUAUUUAAAUAAUUAUUUUAUUUGAUAAUUAAUUAUUAUUUAAUAUAAAUAUAUUAAGGGAUAAGCUUUAAUAUAUUAAUUAUAAUUUUUUAUUAUAUUAUUAAUUGUAGAUUUAGAAAUGGUUAACAAUAAAAAUUUUGUAUUAAUUUAUAAAAAUAAUUAUAAUAUUUUUAAAAAUUUAAUUUUAAUAUUAAAAUUUAAAUUUAAAUAAUAAAAAUUUAGAAAUAAUGAUGUAAUUAGUAUAUAUGAUAGUUUAAAUAAAAGAAUUUAUUAAGAUUAAUUUAAGGAAUUCGGCAAAAUAAUAUUCACCUGUUUAACAAAAACAUGUCUUUUAGAUAAUAAUUUAAAGUCUGGCCUGCCCACUGAAUAUAAUUUAAAGGGCCGCGGUAUUUUGACUGUGCAAAGGUAGCAUAAUCAUUAGUCUUUUAAUUGAAGGCUUGUAUGAAUGGUUGGAUGAAAUAUUAACUGUCUCAGAUUAAUAAAAUAGAAUUUAAUUUUUAAGUUAAAAAGCUUAAAUAAUAUUAGAGGACGAGAAGACCCUAUAGAUUUUUAUAAUUUUUUAUUUAUAAAUAAUUUAGUUGAGAGAAAUUUUUAAGUGAAAAAUUAUUUUAUUGGGGUGAUAAAUAAAUUUAAAAAACUUUAUUGAAUAUAAACAUUAAUGUAUGAAUUAUUGAUCCAUUUUUAGUGAUUAUAAGAUUAAAUUACCUUAGGGAUAACAGCGUAAUUUUUUUAGAGAGUUCAUAUCGAUAAAAAAGUUUGCGACCUCGAUGUUGAAUUAAAGAUUAGUUUAGGUGUAGAAGUUUAAAUUUUUGGUCUGUUCGACCAUUGAAUCUUUACAUGAUUUGAGUUCAAACCGGCGUGAGCCAGGUUGGUUUUUAUCCUUAAUUAAUAAAGAUAUUUUAGUACGAAAGGACCAAAUAUUUAAAAAAUUUUUUCUGUUUAAGAAUAAUAUUAAUU
Molecule: ribosomal RNA, 1307 nt
Filed under: Corydalus sp. 3 YLJ-2021a
Lineage: Eukaryota; Metazoa; Arthropoda; Insecta; Megaloptera; Corydalidae
Description: 16S ribosomal RNA
Rfam family: Archaeal large subunit ribosomal RNA (bases 614-1307)
Source: RNAcentral